CGAAGGUGGCAAGCGUUGUUCGGAUUUACUGGGCGUACAGGGAGCGUAGGCGGUUCGGUAAGCCCUCUGUGAAAUCUCCAGGCUUAACCUGGAACAGUCGGAGGGGACUGCCGGGCUAGAGGACGGGAGAGGAGCGCGGAAUUCCCGGUGUAGCGGUGAAAUGCGUAGAGAUCGGGAGGAAGGCCGGUGGCGAAGGCGGCGCUCUGGAACGUUUCUGACGCUGAGGCUCGAAAGCGUGGGGAGCAAACAGGAUUAGAUACCCUGGUAGUCCACGCCUUAAACUAUGAAUACUAAGUGUCGGCGGGUUACCGCCGGUGCCGCAGCUAACGCAUUAAGUAUUCCGCCUGGGAAGUACGGCCGCAAGGUUG
This 368-nucleotide ribosomal RNA is filed under the name uncultured organism. RNAcentral's name for it is "bacterial SSU rRNA". It matches the Rfam family "Bacterial small subunit ribosomal RNA", at positions 526 to 896 of the family's 1533-position model. The record is from RNAcentral.